Molecule: ribosomal RNA, 465 nt
Filed under: uncultured bacterium
Lineage: Bacteria
Description: partial 16S ribosomal RNA
Rfam family: Bacterial small subunit ribosomal RNA
Source: RNAcentral
GAUGAACGCUGGCGGCGUGCUUAACACAUGCAAGUCGAACGGAAAGGCUCCUGCUUGCAGGGGUACUCGAGUGGCGAACGGGUGAGUAACACGUGGGUGAUCUGCCCUGCACUUUGGGAUAAGCCUGGGAAACUGGGUCUAAUACCGGAUAGGACGAUGGUUUGGAUGCCAUUGUGGAAAGUUUUUCGGUGUGGGAUGAGCUCGCGGCCUAUCAGCUUGUUGGUGGGGUAAUGGCCUACCAAGGCGUCGACGGGUAGCCGGCCUGAGAGGGUGUACGGCCACAUUGGGACUGAGAUACGGCCCAGACUCCUACGGGAGGCAGCAGUGGGGAAUAUUGCACAAUAGGCGCAAGCCUGAUGCAGCGACGCCGCGUGGGGGAUGACGGCCUUCGGGUUGUAAACUCCUUUCGCUAGGGACGAAGCGCAAGUGACGGUACCUGGAGAAGAAGCACCGGCUAACUACGUG